RNAcentral lists this ribosomal RNA (254 nucleotides) under uncultured bacterium. Its description in RNAcentral is "partial 16S ribosomal RNA". It matches the Rfam family "Bacterial small subunit ribosomal RNA", at positions 524 to 776 of the family's 1533-position model. The record is from RNAcentral.
UACGGGGGGGGCAAGCGUUGUUCGGAAUUACUGGGCGUAAAGGGCGCGUAGGCGGCCUGCUAAGUCGGACGUGAAAUCCCUCGGCUCAACCGGGGAACUGCGUCCGAUACUGGCGAGGCUUGAAUCCGGGAGAGAGAUGUGGAAUUCCAGGUGUAGCGGUGAAAUGCGCAGAUAUUGGGAGGAACACCAGCGGCGAAGGCGGCACUCUGGGCUGGUACUGACGCUGAGGAGCGAAAGCCAGGGGAGCAAACGGG